AAAUUGUGGAGUGAUGAUAACGAGG
This 25-nucleotide non-coding RNA is filed under the name Cricetulus griseus (Chinese hamster). Lineage: Eukaryota; Metazoa; Chordata; Mammalia; Rodentia; Cricetidae. The record is from RNAcentral.